GCUUGCUGGGGGAUUAGUGGCGAACGGGUGAGUAACACGUGAGUAACCUGCCCUUGACUCUGGGAUAAGCCUGGGAAACUGGGUCUAAUACCGGAUAUGACUCCUCAUCGCAUGGUGGGGGGUGGAAAGCUUUUGUGGUUUUGGAUGGACUCGCGGCCUAUCAGCUUGUUGGUGGGGUAAUGGCCUACCAAGGCGACGACGGGUAGCCGGCCUGAGAGGGUGACCGGCCACACUGGGACUGAGACACGGCCCAGACUCCUACGGGAGGCAGCAGUGGGGAAUAUUGCACAAUGGGCGCAAGCCUGAUGCAGCGACGCCGCGUGAGGGAUGACGGCCUUCGGGUUGUAAACCUCUUUCAGUAGGGAAGAAGCGUAAGUGACGGUACCUGCAGAAGAAGCGCCGGCUAACUACGUGCCAGCAGCCGCGGUAAUACGUAGGGCGCAAGCGUUAUCCGGAAUUAUUGGGCGUAAAGAGCUCGUAGGCGGUUUGUCGCGUCUGCUGUGAAAGACCGGGGCUCAACUCCGGUUCUGCAGUGGGUACGGGCAGACUAGAGUGCAGUAGGGGAGACUGGAAUUCCUGGUGUAGCGGUGAAAUGCGCAGAUAUCAGGAGGAACACCGAUGGCGAAGGCAGGUCUCUGGGCUGUAACUGACGCUGAGGAGCGAAAGCAUGGGGAGCGAACAGGAUUAGAUACCCUGGUAGUCCAUGCCGUAAACGUUGGGCACUAGGUGUGGGGGACAUUCCACGUUUUCCGCGCCGUAGCUAACGCAUUAAGUGCCCCGCCUGGGGAGUACGGCCGCAAGGCUAAAACUCAAAGGAAUUGACGGGGGGCCCGCACAAGCGGCGGAGCAUGCGGAUUAAAUUCGAUGCAACGCGAAGAACCUUACCAAGGCUUUGACAUGAACCGGAAGACCUGGAAACAGGUGCCCCGCUUGCGGUCGG
RNAcentral lists this ribosomal RNA (940 nucleotides) under Paenarthrobacter nicotinovorans. RNAcentral's name for it is "bacterial SSU rRNA". It matches the Rfam family "Bacterial small subunit ribosomal RNA", at positions 78 to 1029 of the family's 1533-position model. The record is from RNAcentral. Lineage: Bacteria; Bacillati; Actinomycetota; Actinomycetes; Micrococcales; Micrococcaceae.